CCCACGUACGAGCAGGGAUGAUGUCACUGGCAGCCAAUCAAAAGUCUCUCCAGGAGGCUUGAGGAAGAAGACACGGUGCCUUCACGUGCUGCCCGUAAAGUCUUAACGUACAGUAGCCUGAAGCGGAGCCGCCAACAAGACAAGGAGAUGAGAAUAUACCCUAAUAGAGCUACUUUGUGCUGAGGUGGCAGAAAAAAAUAAAAUAUCCUGCCAACUAAUAGAUAAAGAAACAGGCAAACAAUUGUGGCCAAAACUGUGACCUUCUUGGAAGAGACUGACAAAGUGGAAGCCUACAAUGCAGGGAAGCUGAUGAGUAUGCAAAUGACUGGAGACAAAGAGAGAGAGACACAGAAGGAGAGAAAUGAAAGCAGAGAGGCAGUAGUGGAGAGUGAUAUGUGUCAUUUGGUGAUGUCAUGCAUCCAAGCGUCCAGGGUGACAGCGGCGGUGAUAACGGCCUGAGUCAGAGGAUGACAUCAACGCUACAAGCUGUCAGACAGGUUGUGAAAGGGCUUAGUCCCACGCUCCCAUUGUUCUCUGGUUAAUGCUGUUAUUCAGCCUGCCACCGGCCUUACUAUUUGUUAAUCUGACCUAACACACAGUUAAACACAGGACAAAGACACACAAACAGCAAAUUUAAAGGCCAGCAUAGGAAAAAAAAAGGCCAGCAGCAAAAUGUCAUCCUGUAAUACACCAUCACAGCUUUUUGAAUACAAAAGAAGAAGCACACAGUUUUGAGUGAGGUCAGGCAAUGAAAAUCUACUAGCAGACAGAUCCAACAGAGGUUACAAAGUUUGAAUUGAUUAGCUCAGGGUUUGGCUUAUAUAUCAUGUAGACUAAUGUUGAAUUUGAAGUGUAAAACAUAUAGAUUCAUUAGAGGAAAAGCCUGGUGAUAGUCUACAUUUUCCUUAGUGUCCUAUGAAAAGACCAAAAUCAACAAUGAACUGAUCCUUCUAACAAGUAUUGCCUGUAUAGCCAAACCAUAUCCUAAAAAUAGUUCCCCACAAAGUCACUAUUUACUCCUGUUUGAGUAAUAAAGCUAAUACUUUUUUUUUUAAAGAUUUACCCACAGACAGGGUAAGGAAGUCAGAAAGUAUUGAAAGACAAACUAACUAGAAUAUCACAAUUUCACCAUCUUAGUUUAGUGUGUUAGCAUGCUAACAUUUGCUAAAUUAGCACUAAACACAAAGUACAGCUGAGGCUGAUGGGAAUGUCAUUAGUUUUGCAGGUAUUUUGUCAUGAACCAAAGUAGUCGACAAAUUUUGACCUCAUGAUGAUGCUAGUGGAAAAGUCAGUGGCUCACCAAAGUUAUUGCAAUUCAUCCUGAGGGGGACCUGAAUGUCUGAACCAAAUUUGAUGCCAAUCCAUCUAAAUGUUGUUGAGACAUUUCAGUCUGGACCAAAGUGGUGUACCAACCGAAAAACAUUGCCAUACCGGUAGCAUGACUAAAAAUAUGGAUCCAAAUACCUGGGGAUCCGGAUGACAAACACCUGAUCAGCUUUAAUCCAUUAUUUCCACAGUUUGCUGAGGUUCAAAGCUUUUCCACUAAUGCAUUUCAUAACCUGUCAUCCUUUAGGCAUUAAAUAUCCAAAUGACAAAUUUUAACUGAUGUCAACGUUACAUAAUUUUGAAAAGUGCAACCACAUUAUCUCCACUAACAGCCAUCCAGACAAACAGGGGGUGAGAGGAAGUGCUGACUGAGAGAAGGAUGAGUAAAGGCAGAAAUGUACAGACAGACAGGCAGACAGGCCACGCUCUCUAGCUCCCACAUUCAUUCAAAAUGCACCGGGCUUUGUAGAAUUUUCCAACCACACAACCCCCCACUGUGGAGACCCAGUACACUGACAAACAAGGCUUCUUUGGGGUCAGGUUGAGCUUGUUUGUUCGUCACUCACUGUACUUAAACAGAAUUACAGAUAAGUACAUUAUGAGUCAGUGGGCACAUAUACACAUGAGUCAGUGUGAUGUAGGUGGUUAACAGGUUAGUUUCAGGAAAACCGUUUCAAAGAAUCAUCCAGCCUACCUGGUAUUCUACCUGUGGAGUUUCAGAGGAUUGCACCAAGUGUGAAAUAUGCCUCAUUUGCAGACUGCAGGUUUGAUAAGUGAGUGUGUAUAUGUCGGUGGAUGAUAUCACCGUGAUGAUAUCACCUCUCAAAUGGUAUAAAUACCCAUUGUGUUUUCUUUAUUUGAAAAUCUAAGAUUACAUGUUUACUGAAAACUAGAGUCAUUAUCCUCCUCUGUAUAGUCAUAACACUCACCAGUAGGACAAGAAAAGGGCAUAAAUUAAAAGAUUACAUCAUGUGAAUCCACACAAAAGAGGCCCACAUGUUGAAUAAAAGCAAAUUUGCUUUUCAGAGAGAAGACAUUACAUCAAAUACAUGCAGUAUGUUGUAGGUGGCUGGAGUGCCCCCUGCAGGAAAGGGCUUUAAAAACUCACUCAUGUAAGAAAUACUUUAUUUAUAUGGUACUUUUCAAAAACCUGGGUUACAACGUGGUUCACAGUUACAAAUGAAAGAAUUUAAGAACAUAACAAAAAAAACUGAAAAAGAAGAAACAGAAAACAUUUGAAUAAAUACAUAAAUCAAAGAUAAGCAAGAUUGUUCAAAGCUUAAGAAUAAAUUGGGGCAAGGAAGCAUCAAUACAAUGUGUUACACACAACAGAAAAAAAUAGGUAUUAAACCUUCAAUAAUUGAUAAUUAAUCAUUAUAUAUACAUUUUUAUUUAUUUUUUGGCCACUUGGGGCACCGCAACAACACACAUUCCUGGUCACCUGAUGAAUAUAAGUCCAAUAUGUACUCUAAUUUUAGCUCUGUUUUAGGUCUCUGCCAGCUACCUGGAAAAAAAUUAAUCUGGCUCUUUAGCAGCUAAACGCUCCACUAUGUUCACCAUCUAGUUGCUAACUUUGUCUGUCUGCCAUUUGGUGCAGAGCAGGUAGCGUACGGUGAGUUUAUUAGAGCUUUUUUUUUUUUUUUUUGCUGAAAACAGCUGCAUGUUGCUGAGAGCGGUGAGUGAACCAAAACCAUAAAGUUGCAGUCCAGAAAACUGAAACAAUGAGCUGAAAGUUGCUUAAAAGAACUCCAAAGUCAGGUGAUAAUUUUCUGUGGGUUCAUCACUGUGAGUGAGCCCUUCCACAUUACGUCAUUUGACCCAUUCUUAAUAUAAAAAAAAAGAGCAGCUUUAAUAUAGGACUUAAAACACUCCACAUAGUUUCCUUCUUAAAAGAAAUCUUAAACUCAAGUAGGAAUGUCACUUGCUUUUGUUAAAAUAUUCACUUCUAGAUGCAAUAUUUCAUUCUGAGUCAAACCACCCAAAAUACUGUCAAGCAAACCAAAAUAAAAAAACAGCCUCCUAAGGUAUCAUCUGUAGAUUGUGUCACUGCUGUCUUGCUUGUCUUAAUAAUUGAUGCCUGCCUGGAAUUCUGUCGUGCUUCUUUCUUCAAAUUUCAGAUCGUUCAGAGUUGUUGUUUUUCCCCCCACUUGUGCUCCAGUUGGCUGGCCUCCACAGAGCUUGAAGGAAAGUCACAACAUUUGCAUUGCCACUUAUCACACUCAGGUACGCAAGAAAUUAAACCUCCAUAGCCUCAGGUGAACGCUCUGUUGGUCAGGGCACUUUGCAUUUCAGAGUCAUUACAUUGCUGUUCUGCACUGCUUGUCUUCUGCUUAGAGAGGGGGAACAGUUGUUUGUCUGUGCAACUGCCUGCAUGAGUAACAUUUCAGGAAUGAGUCCUGAGUAAUUAUCCUGUUUCGGUGAUUGUCCAGUCCCCAGUGAAGAUAUGAGAUCACACGCAAAUAUAUGUAGAGGGAUAAGCUGUUUAUUCCAAGGCUAAGAUUUUAUUCCACGCUGGGUAAGUAGAGCAAUCUUAGAAGUUACAAGAGGAUCAGUUUGUGUUCACCAGCUUGAUCUUUUCUCACAGUCGGUGCACAGCAGAGAAAGCUCCUGGUCUUGGCACAUACACAGAGCUGAGCGUCGUCUCCCCAGAAAUCAGCCCACAGUCUUUAUUCUCCUAAUACAUUAUUGAAAGCUAUUUUUGCAGCUGCACUCCAAGAACAAAGGUAUUGCAGUUGUCACUUUCAACUUCACAGACAGAAUGGGGAGGAUAUUUUGGGAAUCUUUUUUUUUUUUCCUCUCCCUGAAGUUCCCCAAGACUUGACUCCCCUCAAGCAAUUUUUGUCUUAGCAUCUGCCAAGUAUCAUGAGUGUGUUUUGAAAGCCUUUUGUUAUCAUGCUGUUCAAAAGGGCCAUCAUAGGUUUGGAAUACACCCAUUAUACGCUGGCCAUUUUGCACCAAAGCAAAUGUAAUUUUGAUAAGAUUUAAAGCUGACUUCUGUAGGAUUUUCAUUCAUGAGUUAGAUUUUUAUUUCCCUUUUAAUUUUUUUUUGUUUGAUCUUCAGUUACAUUUUGAAGAUGAUUCAGACUUCAGCUUCAUGUUUUCCUAUUUCGUCUCCUUCCUGCUUGUAGCAUGCAGCACUGAAAAAAACACAUCAGUAUGUUAAGUCCAAAUUGCAUGGCUGAUAUAUCACGCUUUCUCCCUCCAUCUCUCUCUUUCACCCCCACUCUUAAACCACACCAGACUUCAAAUGUCUUGCAGAGUUACUGAGAUGUUACACUGUCACUGUGCAAGUCUGGAUUUUAGGUUACAAAUCCUCAGAGCCCUGCAGACCAACCAAGCGAGACCCUGAGUCACCAACUGCAGUGUGUGUGUGUGUGUGUGUGUGUGUGUGUGUGUGUUUUCGUGGGCUAGGAGAGGAGGGAGUCAGACUGUAAGAGAAAGGAAAACUCAAUUAAUGUCAGCCUCACAUAACAAAGCAACAUCCAGCGUCUUUCUAACCCAGGCAUAAAAUUAAAACAUCUCUCCCUACACGAUUUGUUUGUUUGUUUUUUCUCGGCAGCAAAUAGAUUCAGUCUGCAACCUGCGCUGGUGAUUAAUUACACAACAAUUAUUAUGCCUGUCAGUUCACAGUGAGAUUAGGCCGAAGACGUCAGUACAUUUCUCCCAGAGCUAGAGGAGGUAUAAAGGGCCUGUUAGAGUCAUCAGAUGAGCCCACAGAGAAAGGAUUUUAAUUUUUUUUUACAGCCCAGUAUGUCCCAACAACCUUGGGGUGCAUUCCCAUACAUCAUUGCUUUUCCUCUUAGACUGAACACGGACCAAGCUGGUGGAACCAGUGGAGCUGCUCAGCAGCCAGUAGCAUCAGUGUACUCAGCAGCUUGUAAAUGUGUAACUCCAUCCACCUGCCAAAACUGUGUGUGACAAGUGUGUUCUAACAGGAUAAAUAAAGGUUACUUCAAAUAUACAAUCAAAAGCAAUCAUCAUUUUGAGGAAAAUAGUGGCUGUGUGCAUUGUUGCAUUUUCUGUGUACUGAAUGAUGUUUAUAUGAUGCCAAAUCGAAUUUGAGCUCGACAGAUACUGGAUUUUUAAGGCCAAUAUUAAUAAUACCCAAAAAUACAUUCUUCACAUUCUUGCAGAUGAGAAGAUCAAUAUCACUCUCA
Long non-coding RNA from Siniperca chuatsi (mandarin fish), 5483 nucleotides. RefSeq lists it as uncharacterized. The transcript has 3 exons. The record is from RefSeq and is a predicted model, not a curated record. Lineage: Eukaryota; Metazoa; Chordata; Actinopteri; Centrarchiformes; Sinipercidae.